Molecule: long non-coding RNA, 310 nt
Filed under: Fukomys damarensis (Damara mole-rat)
Lineage: Eukaryota; Metazoa; Chordata; Mammalia; Rodentia; Bathyergidae
Description: lncRNA (ENSFDAG00000027434.1)
Source: RNAcentral
UUAGAAAUUGCUGGACAGUGCUAAAGCGCGUGAUUCGUAGUGAUUGGAUCCUGUGACACUUGAAUAGUGCUAUUAACUAUGAAGUUCUUUUAAGAGAGUUGAAACACUUCCUAUUGAUGAGGGUGUUGGAAAGUCCUUUGUGGCUCUGUAAGUGCCUUUCUACAAUAUCUCAUUCAAAUCCAAACUGCAAGUUGUUUGGCCAGCAUGGAUAGAGGCUUGGGAUAAAUUAAGUCCAACAAACUAUGUUCAAAAAACUUCAUAGUAGACACAGGUAUGUUAUUCUUUGGUACAAUGCAUUUACAAAAAACUU